Molecule: ribosomal RNA, 373 nt
Filed under: uncultured organism
Description: partial 16S ribosomal RNA
Rfam family: Bacterial small subunit ribosomal RNA
Source: RNAcentral
GGAGGAGGCAAGCGUUAUCCGGAACUAUUGGGCGUAAAGAGUCCGUAGGUGGUUUAUCAAGUCUGGGGUCAAAGACCGGAGCUUAACUCCGGAACGGCCGUGGAAACUGAGAGACUAGAGACCGGUAGGGGUAGAGGGAAUUCCCAGUGUAGCGGUGAAAUGCGUAGAGAUUGGAGGAACACCAGUGGCGAAGGCGCUCUACUGGGCCGGGACUGACACUGAGGGACGAAAGCUAGGGGAGCGAAAGGGAUUAGAUACCCCUGUAGUCCUAGCCGUAAACUAUGGAGACUAGGCGUGGCUUGUAUCGACCCCGAGCCCGUGCCCGAAGCCAACGCGUUAAGUCUCCCGCCUGGGGAGUACGCACGCAAGUGUG